AGAGUUUGAUCCUGGCUCAGGAUGAACGCUGGCGGCGUGCUUAACACAUGCAAGUCGAACGGGAAUUACUUUAUUGAAACUUCGGUCGAUUUAAUUUAAUUCUAGUGGCGGACGGGUGAGUAACGCGUGGGUAACCUGCCUUAUACAGGGGGAUAACAGUCAGAAAUGACUGCUAAUACCGCAUAAGCGCACAGAGCUGCAUGGCUCGGUGUGAAAAACUCCGGUGGUAUAAGAUGGACCCGCGUUGGAUUAGCUAGUUGGUGAGGUAACGGCCCACCAAGGCGACGAUCCAUAGCCGGCCUGAGAGGGUGAACGGCCACAUUGGGACCGAGACACGGCCCAGACUCCUACGGGAGGCAGCAGUGGGGAAUAUUGCACAAUGGGGGAAACCCUGAUGCAGCGACGCCGCGUGAAGGAAGAAGUAUCUCGGUAUGUAAACUUCUAUCAGCAGGGAAGAAAAUGACGGUACCUGACUAAGAAGCCCCGGCUAACUACGUGCCAGCAGCCGCGGUAAUACGUAGGGGGCAAGCGUUAUCCGGAUUUACUGGGUGUAAAGGGAGCGUAGACGGAUGGACAAGUCUGAUGUGAAAGGCUGGGGCUCAACCCCGGGACUGCAUUGGAAACUGCCCGUCUUGAGUGCCGGAGAGGUAAGCGGAAUUCCUAGUGUAGCGGUGAAAUGCGUAGAUAUUAGGAGGAACACCAGUGGCGAAGGCGGCUUACUGGACGGUAACUGACGUUGAGGCUCGAAAGCGUGGGGAGCAAACAGGAUUAGAUACCCUGGUAGUCCACGCGGUAAACGAU
This 801-nucleotide ribosomal RNA is filed under the name uncultured bacterium. RNAcentral's name for it is "bacterial SSU rRNA". It matches the Rfam family "Bacterial small subunit ribosomal RNA", at positions 8 to 810 of the family's 1533-position model. The record is from RNAcentral.